RNAcentral lists this ribosomal RNA (468 nucleotides) under uncultured bacterium. Its description in RNAcentral is "partial 16S ribosomal RNA". It matches the Rfam family "Bacterial small subunit ribosomal RNA", at positions 28 to 507 of the family's 1533-position model. The record is from RNAcentral.
GACGAACGCUGGCGGCGUGCUUAACACAUGCAAGUCGAACGGAAAGGCCCUGCUUUUGUGGGGUGCUCGAGUGGCGAACGGGUGAGUAACACGUGAGUAACCUGCCCUUGACUUUGGGAUAACUUCAGGAAACUGGGGCUAUUACCGGAUAGGAGCUCCUGCUGCAUGGUGGUGGUUGGAAAGUUUCGGCGGUUGGGGAUGGACUCGCGGCUUAUCAGCUUGUUGGUGGGGUAGUGGCUUACCAAGGCUUUGACGGGUAGCCGGCCUGAGAGGGUGACCGGCCACAUUGGGACUGAGAUACGGCCCAGACUCCUACGGGAGGCAGCAGUGGGGAGUAUUGCACAAUGGGCGGAAGCCUGAUGCAGCAACGCCGCGUGCGGGAUGACGGCCUUCGGGUUGUAAUCCGCUUUCGCCUGUGACGAAGCGUGAGUGACGGUAAUGGGUAAAGAAGCACCGGCUAACUACGUG